ACGGCGGAAGGAUCCGGGAGGCGCCCUGGCGGCCCCAAUGAGAAAGGCCGGUUUUCCUCCUGGGCUGCAAUGACGUCAUGGUGUUAACCUGCAUUUGGGGCGGGUCCUUAAGGAAUUGUUAACAUUGGGAGAUGUGGCUGUCACCUCCAAGGAGACCUCCAGUCUCCAAGGAGACCCCGGUGCCCUUCACAGCAGGAUCUGUGCAGGGAUGUGCUGCCGGACAACCAGAGGAACCUGGCCUGCCUGGGUCAGCAGAGAUUGCCCUUGUCUCCCAAUCUGUGAAGGGCUUUCCUUUCUUUCUUGGACUUGUAAUUUCCAAACCAGAUAUGAUAUACCAAUAGGAACAAGGAAUAAAACUUGGGAUGCCAAAGGGAGAUGUCUGA
Sarcophilus harrisii (Tasmanian devil) is the source of this 383-nucleotide long non-coding RNA. RefSeq lists it as uncharacterized. The record is from RefSeq and is a predicted model, not a curated record. Lineage: Eukaryota; Metazoa; Chordata; Mammalia; Dasyuromorphia; Dasyuridae. The transcript has 3 exons.